This 479-nucleotide ribosomal RNA is filed under the name uncultured bacterium. RNAcentral's name for it is "bacterial SSU rRNA". It matches the Rfam family "Bacterial small subunit ribosomal RNA", at positions 28 to 507 of the family's 1533-position model. The record is from RNAcentral.
GACGAACGCUGGCGGCGUGCUUAAUACAUGCAAGUCAACUGAACUUGAAGUAGCAAUAUUUCAAGGGAGGUGGCGCACGGGUGAGUAACACGUAGGUAAUCUGCCUUUAGGUCUGACAUAAUUCCGCGAAAGCGGGACUAACUUCAGAUGAUGCAGCGGCUCGACAUCGAGACAGUUGUUAAAUCUUCGGAGCCUAAAGAUGAGCCUGCGUCUGAUUAGGUAGUUGGCGGAGUAAAAGCCCACCAAGCCUGCGAUCAGUAGCUGGUCUGAGAGGAUGAUCAGCCACACUGGAACUGAGACACGGUCCAGACUCCUACGGGAGGCAGCAGUAAGGAAUAUUGCUCAAUGGCCGAAAGGCUGAAGCAGCAACGCCGCGUGGAGGAUGAAAUACUUUUGUAUGUAAACUCCUGUAAGAAGGGAAAAUAUUUCGAUUUAUCGGAAUUGAUUGUACCUUCAGAGUAAGCCCGGCUAACUACGUG